This 858-nucleotide unclassified non-coding RNA is filed under the name Hevea brasiliensis (rubber tree). Lineage: Eukaryota; Viridiplantae; Streptophyta; Magnoliopsida; Malpighiales; Euphorbiaceae. The record is from RNAcentral.
UCGAUCUGUAAAUUUCUGAAUCUGUAUUGAGGGAAGUUGAAUUUGCAAAGGAAUAUACUUGGUUUUUUUCCUUUUCUUAGAACAAAUGGCUUCUGUAAGCGUUGUACCUACUUCUGGAUUAAAAGAUCCAAGUGGAAAUACAGCUGGUGUUGAUAGGUUACCUGAUGAGAUGAAUGACAUGAAAAUUAGGGAUGACAAGGAAAUGGAAGCAACGGUUGUUGAUGGUAACGGAACAGAGACGGGCCACAUAAUUGUCACAACCAUUGGUGGCAAAAAUGGACAGCCAAAACAGACAAUAAGCUAUAUGGCUGAGCGGGUUGUUGGACAUGGAUCUUUUGGAGUAGUAUUCCAGGCUAAGUGCCUAGAGACUGGUGAAACUGUUGCAAUUAAAAAGGUUCUACAAGAUAAAAGGUACAAGAACCGUGAGCUGCAAACUAUGCGUCUUCUGGACCACCCCAAUGUAGUGUCCUUGAAACACUGUUUCUUCUCAACAACUGAAAAAGAUGAUCUUUAUCUUAACCUGGUACUUGAGUAUGUCCCUGAGACUGUCCACCGCGUGAUCAAACACUAUAAUAAGAUGGGCCAAAGGAUGCCACUAAUAUACGUGAAACUUUAUUUUUACCAGAUUUGUAGAGCUCUUGCAUACAUUCACAACACUAUUGGAGUGUGCCAUAGGGACAUAAAGCCUCAAAAUUUGUUGGUUAACCCACACACCCACCAGCUGAAAUUAUGUGACUUUGGAAGUGCAAAAGUUUUGGUGAAAGGGGAACCAAACAUAUCUUAUAUAUGUUCUAGGUAUUAUCGAGCACCUGAACUUAUAUUUGGUGCAACUGAGUACACCACAGCCAUUGACAUUUG